AGUCAGAGGUGUAGGUGAGCACAAAGUAGUAAAGUAGGCAGGCUCUGGUUAUGGGGGUAGAUGCUCGAGGAGUUUCAGGGGGACUCCUGAGGCUCUAUCCCGCCUUUGCGUAUGUCGAGCCUCCUUCCUCAUGACCUUUGUCACAGGCGGAGUACUCACUCUGGCCCCCAACACAAGGCACAGAUCCCUGCCUCCUCCAGCCCUUCUGGCUCUGCCUCAGCUCCAGCCAGAGAUUUCAACCUUCCACAGAUCCGCACGUUCUCCACAGAGGCGGCUGUCUGUUCCUGGGCACCUGGCAGAAGGACCUCACUGCAAACUGACCCUUCUCUGGCCAUGAGCUCAGUUCUCCUGUGAUCAUGGGGCCUGGACACUCCUCUGCCUUGACCUGAAGCUCCUCCCUCUCAGCACCCACCUGGGGCCUCCACACCAUGCCCUCUAGAAGCGCGGAGGGACUUUGGGUCUCCAUGGCCAUCUCCUCCUCUGUGGUGUUUCCCUCAUCCGUGGCCAAGUCCAGGGCUUUGGCAGAGUCUGCAGAGACUUGGUGGACACCAGGGCAGGUAUUUGGCCAUGAAACCUGCAGCCUCCCCACGAGGCCCAAAUGCAGCUCCAGCUUUCCGCAGGAGGCCCCAAACCAGCAGGUUGGCCUGGCUGAAGAGCUGACCCUUCUGGGGCCCUAGAGACAGGCCUCUCUCCUUGCCAAGCCCUGUUCUGCAGCAGGACAGACUACCCACCACCGAAGGACAGGCUCUGGCGAUGUCACUGACUAAUCUUCUUAGCAGCUAAAACAUCGGAUGGCUACCACCCAGGGGGCCAUGGAGGACCGUGGCAAAGGUGUGUUAGGAACAGGACUCAUUAUUCUUGUAACACAGCUAAGUUCUGGGAGGUAAAAAGAAGAAGGGGGUGGUGGGAAGAAAGAAAAUCUUCUUCUUGCAGUCAUCUCAAAUUCCAGGCUGAAGGCACUGCUUGUAAAGCCAUGGCUUGUAAUUGGUACUGAGACUCCCUCCAUCCUUCGAUGUAUCUAUUCUGACCCUUUCAGGACCCCGCCUCCCGCACGACUUCCUCCUGGGCUCCACCAGACAGACCUAGGCUUCAGCUCGCAUCUGCUGCCGUUCUUCCUCCCUCUGGUCCUUGGCUUUGAUGGGAUCCUCCAGGGGAAGCUAUUAGCUGUGAUUGUGGU
This is a long non-coding RNA of Bos taurus (domestic cattle), 1177 nucleotides long. NCBI's taxonomy places the organism in Eukaryota, Metazoa, Chordata, Mammalia, Artiodactyla, Bovidae. The record is from Ensembl.